AAGCCUAUACUUUCAGGGAUCAUCUCUAUGGUUUGUUACCAGAGAAGUUUCUCUGAAUGUGCAGAGCCCCCGAGACCACGAGGCGGAGGCGCAGCAUUCUCUCCUGAGCGUGGAGCUGGCUUUUGGUGUUCCUUUUGCAACCACCACGAGCCACUGAUGAUCGCCCUUUUCUCCCUUUGGGAGAGUAAGAGGGAGAGGAUGCAGUGGU
This is a small nucleolar RNA of Eptesicus fuscus (big brown bat), 208 nucleotides long. RefSeq annotates it as small nucleolar RNA U3. The record is from RefSeq and is a predicted model, not a curated record. The transcript has a single exon. Lineage: Eukaryota; Metazoa; Chordata; Mammalia; Chiroptera; Vespertilionidae.